GAGUAAUGCCUAGGAAAUUGCCUUGAUGUGGGGGAUAACCAUUGGAAACGAUGGCUAAUACCGCAUAAUGCCUACGGGCCAAAGAGGGGGACCUUCGGGCCUCUCGCGUCAAGAUAUGCCUAGGUGGGAUUAGCUAGUUGGUGAGGUAAUGGCUCACCAAGGCGACGAUCCCUAGCUGGUCUGAGAGGAUGAUCAGCCACACUGGAACUGAGACACGGUCCAGACUCCUACGGGAGGCAGCAGUGGGGAAUAUUGCACAAUGGGCGAAAGCCUGAUGCAGCCAUG
This 285-nucleotide ribosomal RNA is filed under the name Vibrio splendidus 12E03. RNAcentral's name for it is "partial 16S ribosomal RNA". It matches the Rfam family "Bacterial small subunit ribosomal RNA", at positions 108 to 396 of the family's 1533-position model. The record is from RNAcentral. Lineage: Bacteria; Pseudomonadati; Pseudomonadota; Gammaproteobacteria; Vibrionales; Vibrionaceae.